Molecule: long non-coding RNA, 425 nt
Organism: Zophobas morio
Lineage: Eukaryota; Metazoa; Arthropoda; Insecta; Coleoptera; Tenebrionidae
Exons: 6
Source: RefSeq, a predicted model, not a curated record
CUUGCUUAUAAUGAAAACAUUUCUCUUUAUUUUAAAGCUAUUCAAGAAUAUCUAAAUAUACAAAACAGUUCACUUUUUCCGCUGGACGCUAUUCAAAAGGGAAAUAUUCAGCCUGUCAUACAAAAUAUAUACGACGUUGCAGAUGCGCUUAGAAAGCGAAGUGACUAUACCGGUCCUUUAUUGGUUACUAUCAAAAGAGGAGGAAAGUUCUGCACAGAAACAGAUUCUUUUAUUCCGGAAGAGGAAAGUUCCUUUCAAAUAAGAAGAGAAAAAAGGUUACAGGAAAUGAUGAAAGAGCGAGAAGAGCUACUACAAAAGAAAAGUUCCGCCCAUAGUUUUUUAGUUUCAUGUAUUUUAAAAACUUUCCGGUUUCUUUUUAAUAAUAUUAUCAAGCCGUUCUUUAGCGCUAUAAAAGUUUUUUUCGG